RNAcentral lists this small RNA (539 nucleotides) under Rattus norvegicus (Norway rat). RNAcentral's name for it is "uncharacterized LOC102546822". The record is from RNAcentral. Lineage: Eukaryota; Metazoa; Chordata; Mammalia; Rodentia; Muridae.
GUGGUGGCUUGUACUGGAUGCCCAGCGCCAUCUACAAAUCUGAAAAUGAAUAGAAGGUAUCAGUCCCACCUUUUCUAGCAGUCACUAGAGAGACUCCUGGGCAAUUUUUUGGAUUUCAUCUUAUUGCCUGAAGGAAAUUCUUGAAAGUCUGACAACAAUUCAUCAGAGAGGAAGCUGUGGGGGUUAAGACAAAGAACUAGAUCUCUUCGCCCAAAUUUCUGCCUACUGCCAAUAAGGGUCAUCAUGCUUCAUCACAGAGGUUGUUCAGGUCUCGGCUUUGAACGAGAUUUUCUGGACCCAGUUGACUCACCGGGCACAUUGAUUUUACUGAUUCCUGUGGAUGACUUGGAAGAUGAUGUGGAAGAAAUAAUCGAAAUAUAUGAAGAUUCGGGGAAUGAUAGUGGAGAGGUAGAGGAGGAGGAAGCUGAACAGGAAGGGGCUGUGGAGGAGGAGGAGGUGGAAGAGGUGGAGGAGGAAGAAAUAGAGCUGGAAAUAGGAAAAUAUAUUGAAGAGAAUGAGGAAUAGAAAUGAGAAAUUAA